Molecule: transfer RNA, 73 nt
Filed under: Dishui Lake phycodnavirus 2
Lineage: Varidnaviria; Bamfordvirae; Nucleocytoviricota; Megaviricetes; Algavirales; Phycodnaviridae
Rfam family: tRNA
About the family: Transfer RNA (tRNA) molecules are approximately 80 nucleotides in length. Their secondary structure includes four short double-helical elements and three loops (D, anti-codon, and T loops). Further hydrogen bonds mediate the characteristic L-shaped molecular structure. tRNAs have two regions of fundamental functional importance: the anti-codon, which is responsible for specific mRNA codon recognition, and the 3' end, to which the tRNAs corresponding amino acid is attached (by aminoacyl-tRNA synthetases). tRNAs cope with the degeneracy of the genetic code in two manners: having more than one tRNA (with a specific anti-codon) for a particular amino acid; and 'wobble' base-pairing, i.e. permitting non-standard base-pairing at the 3rd anti-codon position.
Source: Rfam by way of RNAcentral
UCCCUUCUAGCUCAGUUGGAAGAGCGCGCGGCUGUUAACUGCGAGGUAGUGGGAUCGAAACCCACGAGGGGAG